ACACUUACCUGGCAGGGGAAACACUAACCAUGAGGGUGGUGUUCCCAAGGUGGGCUCAUUCAUUGCUCUGUGGAUGUGCGGACCCCUGCGAUUCCCCCAACUCUGGGGAACUCAGCUGCAUAAGUUUGUGGUGGUGGUGGACUUUGGUCACGCUCUCCCCUA
Molecule: small nuclear RNA, 162 nt
Organism: Erinaceus europaeus (western European hedgehog)
Lineage: Eukaryota; Metazoa; Chordata; Mammalia; Eulipotyphla; Erinaceidae
Gene: U1
Rfam family: U1 spliceosomal RNA
About the family: U1 is a small nuclear RNA (snRNA) component of the spliceosome (involved in pre-mRNA splicing). Its 5' end forms complementary base pairs with the 5' splice junction, thus defining the 5' donor site of an intron.
Source: Ensembl